This 357-nucleotide ribosomal RNA is filed under the name uncultured bacterium. Its description in RNAcentral is "bacterial SSU rRNA". It matches the Rfam family "Bacterial small subunit ribosomal RNA", at positions 70 to 422 of the family's 1533-position model. The record is from RNAcentral.
UCAGGAGGGGUAACCCACCUGAGGGGAGAGCGGCGAACGGGUGAGUAUCACGUGGGCAACCUGCCCCGGACACCGGGAUAACCCAGGGGAACCUGAGCUAAUACCGGAUACUCCGGCGCGAUCUCAUGGUCGCGCCGGGAAAGCCUCGACGGUCCGGGAUGGGCCCGCGGCCUAUCAGCUUGUUGGUGGGGUAACGGCCCACCAAGGCGACGACGGGUAGCUGGUCUGAGAGGACGGCCAGCCACACUGGGACUGAGACACGGCCCAGACUCCUACGGGAGGCAGCAGUGGGGGAUCUUGCGCUAAUGCGCGAAAGCGUGACGCAGCGACGCCGCGUGGGGGAUGAAGGCCCUCGGG